GUGGGGAAUAUUGCGCAAUGGAGGCAACUCUGACGCAGCCAUGCCGCGUGCAGGAAGAAGGCGCUACGCGUUGUAAACUGCUUUUAACCGGGAAGAAACCCCAGGACGUGUCCUGGGUUGACGGUACCGGAGGAAUAAGCACCGGCUAACUUCGUGCCAGCAGCCGCGGUAAUACGAAGGGUGCAAGCGUUAUCCGGAUUCAUUGGGUUUAAAGGGUGCGUAGGCGGAGCGUUAAGUCAGUGGUGAAAUCCUGCAGCUUAACUGUAGACUUGCCAUUGAUACUGGCGCUCUUGAGUGCACUUGAAGUGGGCGGAAUGUGCCGUGUAGCGGUGAAAUGCUUAGAUAUGGCACAGAACACCAAUUGCGAAGGCAGCUCACUAAGGCGAUACUGACGCUGAGGCACGAAAGCGUGGGGAUCGAACAGGAUUAGAAACCCCGGUAGUCC
Molecule: ribosomal RNA, 445 nt
Filed under: uncultured bacterium
Lineage: Bacteria
Description: partial 16S ribosomal RNA
Rfam family: Bacterial small subunit ribosomal RNA
Source: RNAcentral